Molecule: ribosomal RNA, 301 nt
Filed under: uncultured bacterium
Lineage: Bacteria
Description: partial 16S ribosomal RNA
Rfam family: Bacterial small subunit ribosomal RNA
Source: RNAcentral
CAGUAGCCGCGGGAAUACGAAGGGGGCUAGCGUUGCUCGGAAUGACUGGGCGUAAGGGGCGCGUAGGCGGCAUAUACAGUCAGGCGUGAAAUUCCUGGGCUUAACCUGGGGGCUGCGUUUGAUACGUAUAGGCUAGAGUGGGGAAGAGGGUUGUGGAAUUCCCAGUGUAGGGGUGAAAUUCGUAGAUAUUGGGAAGAACACCGGUGGCGAAGGCGGCAACCUGGUCCUUGACUGACGCUGAGGCGCGAAAGCGUGGGAGCAAACAGAAUUAGAUACCCGCGUAGUCCCUGUCUCUUAUACA